RNAcentral lists this ribosomal RNA (263 nucleotides) under uncultured bacterium. RNAcentral's name for it is "partial 16S ribosomal RNA". It matches the Rfam family "Bacterial small subunit ribosomal RNA", at positions 338 to 593 of the family's 1533-position model. The record is from RNAcentral.
CCUACGGGACGCAGCAGUAGGGAAUCUUCCACAAUGGACGAAAGUCUGAUGGAGCAACGCCGCGUGAGUGAAGAAGGGUUUCGGCUCGUAAAGCUCUGUUGGUAGUGAAGAAAGAUAGAGGUAGUAACUGGCCUUUAUUUGACGGUAAUUACUUAGAAAGUCACGGCUAACUACGUGCCAGCAGCCGCGGUAAUACGGAGGUGGCAAGCGUUGUCCGGAUUUAUUGGGCGUAAAGCGAGUGUAGGCGGGUCCAUAAGUCUGGU